GUCGACAGCCAAACCACCCUGAACGUGCCUGAUCUCGUCUGAUCUCAGAGGCUAAGCAGGCUUGGUCCUGGUUAAUACUUGGAUGGGAGAAGCAUAAGAAAUCAUAUCUUGUAUCUGCU
RNAcentral lists this ribosomal RNA (119 nucleotides) under Carlito syrichta (Philippine tarsier). The record is from RNAcentral. Lineage: Eukaryota; Metazoa; Chordata; Mammalia; Primates; Tarsiidae.